RNAcentral lists this ribosomal RNA (329 nucleotides) under uncultured Chloroflexota bacterium. RNAcentral's name for it is "bacterial SSU rRNA". It matches the Rfam family "Bacterial small subunit ribosomal RNA", at positions 28 to 351 of the family's 1533-position model. The record is from RNAcentral. Lineage: Bacteria; Bacillati; Chloroflexota.
GAUGAACGCUGGCGGCGUGCCUAAUACAUGCAAGUCGAACGAGGUGCUUUUGUAGCAAUACGAAGGUAUCCUAGUGGCGAACGGGUGAGUAACGCGUUGGUGACCUGCCCCAAAGUGUGGGAUAACAGUUCGAAAGGAUUGCUAAUACCGCAUGUGGUCAUUGGAUCUAGAAACCGAUGACUAAAGCAGUAAUGCGCUUUGGGAGGGACCUGCGUCCCAUCAGCUAGUUGGUGAGGUAACGGCCCACCAAGGCGGGGACGGUAGGGGGCCUGAGAGGGUGGUCCCCCACACUGGAACUGAGAGACGGUCCAGACUCCUACGGGAGGCUG